AUACGGAGGGGGCUAGCGUUGUUCGGAAUUACUGGGCGUAAAGCGCGCGUAGGCGGACCAGUCAGUCAGGGGUGAAAUCCCGGGGCUCAACCCCGGAACUGCCUUUGAUACUGCUGGUCUUGAGUUCGAGAGAGGUGAGUGGAAUUCCGAGUGUAGAGGUGAAAUUCGUAGAUAUUCGGAGGAACACCAGUGGCGAAGGCGGCUCACUGGCUCGAUACUGACGCUGAGGUGCGAAAGCGUGGGGAGCAAACAGGAUUAGAAACCCUGGUAGUCC
Molecule: ribosomal RNA, 274 nt
Filed under: uncultured bacterium
Lineage: Bacteria
Description: partial 16S ribosomal RNA
Rfam family: Bacterial small subunit ribosomal RNA
Source: RNAcentral